GGUAAUUGAAUCGAAUAAUGCUGAAUUCUUUGAAAACAUUUACCCGUAUAAAAUUAGACAUGAACAGUCUAGUAGAAGAUCUAAACGACCUCAAGAUGAACCAAGUGAGAAUGUACAUAACGAAGAAAAUCCAAUACGUAGUACACGUCAAAGAACGUCAACUUUGUUUGGAUCGGAUUUUGUAACAUUUCUUUUAGAAAAUGAG
RNAcentral lists this long non-coding RNA (205 nucleotides) under Capsicum annuum. RNAcentral's name for it is "long non-coding RNA (CANN_LNC009028)". The record is from RNAcentral. Lineage: Eukaryota; Viridiplantae; Streptophyta; Magnoliopsida; Solanales; Solanaceae.